This 111-nucleotide transfer RNA is filed under the name Pelobates cultripes (western spadefoot toad). Its description in RNAcentral is "tRNA.Leu". It matches the Rfam family "tRNA". Rfam says of the family: Transfer RNA (tRNA) molecules are approximately 80 nucleotides in length. Their secondary structure includes four short double-helical elements and three loops (D, anti-codon, and T loops). Lineage: Eukaryota; Metazoa; Chordata; Amphibia; Anura; Pelobatidae. The record is from RNAcentral.
GUCAGGAUGGCCGAGUGGUCUAAGGCGCCAGACUCAAGAGUAAUCUCUUCGCUCAGUGUUGAGUGUUCUGGUCUCCGAAUGGAGGCGUGGGUUCAAAUCCCACUUCUGACA